GACGAACGCUGGCGGCGUGCCUAAUACAUGCAAGUCGAACGAAGCUGUUUUAACUGGUGCUUGCACCGACUUAAACAACUGAGUGGCGAACGGGUGAGUAACACGUGGGUAACCUGCCCCAAAGCGGGGGAUAACAUUUGGAAACAGAUGCUAAUACCGCAUAAUCACAGAAACCACAUGGUUUCUGUGUCAAAGAUGGUUUCGGCUAUCACUUUGGGAUGGACCAGCGGCGUAUUAGCUAGCUGGUAAGGUAAUGGCUUACCAAGGCAAUGAUACGUAGCCGAACUGAGAGGUUGAUCGGCCACAUUGGGACUGAGACACGGCCCAAACUCCUACGGGAGGCAGCAGUAGGGAAUCUUCCACAAUGGACGAAAGUCUGAUGGAGCAACGCCGCGUGAGUGAAGAAGGUUUUCGGAUCGUAAAACUCUGUUGUCAGAGAAGAACGUGUGCGAGAGUAACUGUUCGUGCAGUGACGGUAUCUGGUCAGAAAGCCACGGCUAACUACGUGCCAGCCGCCGCAGUAA
RNAcentral lists this ribosomal RNA (524 nucleotides) under uncultured bacterium. RNAcentral describes it as "partial 16S ribosomal RNA". It matches the Rfam family "Bacterial small subunit ribosomal RNA", at positions 28 to 523 of the family's 1533-position model. The record is from RNAcentral.